CUGUGAGCGAGUUGGAACAAGCACCAGGCAAAAACAAAAAUUCACGCACACAGUAGGGUCGAAAAGUUUUGCUUGUGUAGCUGAGGCCGAGGAACUCCCGUCUGGUCAAAAAGUUGCACGCCUUCAGCUUUUUGACAUUACACAUAGGAAGAAAGAUGGAUCUCCAAUGACUUCUAAAUCUGGAGAAAUUAUGGAGAAACUAAAGGAUAAAAAGGUGGAUGUAUGAAGCGAUUGCUUCGAGUGAUAGUUCUGUUAAUCUUGAGGACAUUGAUAACAGAAUUAUUAUUGAAGUUUUGGGUCUUAAAAGGUAUGGUCGGGUUAGAUAUUUAAAUUGCUCAACUUAAAGCGAAGGUAGCAUUGAGAGAAGCAGAGGUUCAAAGAAAAUAUGAAGAACUCCAGCUACAACUUAAAGAGGAGGCAGUAGCGAGGGAAGCAGAGCAAAAUAGAAAAUAAAACGAACUCCAGCUAUAGCUUCAGAAUAUGAAGAAGAUGUUUCAGCAGUCAAGAAUCCACCAUCUUAGACAUUUAUUUUCUAAUUGUAAGAAUGUUUUAACAAUAUAACUUUUAACAUUAUUGUAAGAAUAUUUUGUUAUUUCAUAUAUUAAUUUAAAUAAUCUAUCUUUCGUUGGA
Gossypium arboreum is the source of this 630-nucleotide long non-coding RNA. RefSeq lists it as uncharacterized. NCBI's taxonomy places the organism in Eukaryota, Viridiplantae, Streptophyta, Magnoliopsida, Malvales, Malvaceae. The transcript is spliced from 3 exons. The record is from RefSeq and is a predicted model, not a curated record.